RNAcentral lists this transfer RNA (70 nucleotides) under Pseudorhynchus acuminatus. Its description in RNAcentral is "tRNA-Val". It matches the Rfam family "tRNA". From Rfam's summary of the family: Transfer RNA (tRNA) molecules are approximately 80 nucleotides in length. Their secondary structure includes four short double-helical elements and three loops (D, anti-codon, and T loops). The record is from RNAcentral. Lineage: Eukaryota; Metazoa; Arthropoda; Insecta; Orthoptera; Tettigoniidae.
CAAAAUAAAGCUUAUAGUUAAGCAUUUCAUUUACAUUGAAAGGAAAUUAGUGCGAAUCUAAUAUUUUUGA